RNAcentral lists this ribosomal RNA (336 nucleotides) under Triticum aestivum (bread wheat). Its description in RNAcentral is "partial small subunit ribosomal RNA". The record is from RNAcentral. Lineage: Eukaryota; Viridiplantae; Streptophyta; Magnoliopsida; Poales; Poaceae.
AUGGGUAACCAUCCGUGGGCUAUAAUAGGAGAUUUCAAUGAGAUUUUGUAUGCAAAUGAAAAGGAGGGAGGUAAUCCUCGACCGAACAAUAUGAUGCAAGCUUUCCGGGACUGCUUGGUGGAGUGUGGACUAGAGGACAUGGGCUAUACGGGAGACUUGUACACUUGGAGGAGAGGAGAGAUUAGGGAAAGAUUGGACCGGGUGUGUAACUUGCAGUGGUCUACCAAAUUUCCGAAAGGGGCGUUGAUCAAUGAGAGUCAUGUCCAUUCGGAUCAUAGACCAAUUAUACUUGACACCGAGUACCAGGAGGGUGUUCAAUUUAGCAGGACGACAUGA